CGCGGGGCAACCUGGCGACGAGUGGCGAACGGGUGAGUAAUGCAUCGGAACGUGCCCAGUAGUGGGGGAUAGCCCGGCGAAAGCCGGAUUAAUACCGCAUACGACCUAUGGGUGAAAGCGGGGGACCGUAAGGCCUCGCGCUAUUGGAGCGGCCGAUGUCAGAUUAGGUUGUUGGUGGGGUAAAAGCCCACCAAGCCGACGAUCUGUAGCUGGUCUGAGAGGACGACCAGCCACACUGGGACUGAGACACGGCCCAGACUCCUACGGGAGGCAGCAGUGGGGAGUUUUGGACAAUGGGGGCAACCCUGAUCCAGCCAUGCCGCGUGCGGGAAGAAGGCCUUCGGG
This 345-nucleotide ribosomal RNA is filed under the name uncultured bacterium. Its description in RNAcentral is "bacterial SSU rRNA". It matches the Rfam family "Bacterial small subunit ribosomal RNA", at positions 72 to 422 of the family's 1533-position model. The record is from RNAcentral.